RNAcentral lists this unclassified non-coding RNA (223 nucleotides) under plant metagenome. RNAcentral describes it as "partial contains 5.8S ribosomal RNA, internal transcribed spacer 2, and large subunit ribosomal RNA". It matches the Rfam family "Bacterial small subunit ribosomal RNA", at positions 358 to 579 of the family's 1533-position model. The record is from RNAcentral.
GGAAUAUUGGUCAAUGGGCGAGAGCCUGAACCAGCCAAGUCGCGUGAGGGAAGACGGUACUAAGUAUUGUAAACCUCUUUUGUCAGGGAACAAAGAGACCACGUGUGGUAAGAUGAGUGUACCUGAAGAAAAAGCAUCGGCUAACUCCGUGCCAGCAGCCGCGGUAAUACGGAGGAUGCGAGCGUUAUCCGGAUUUAUUGGGUUUAAAGGGUGCGUAGGCGGC